AUUGAACGCUGGCGGCAGGCCUAACACAUGCAAGUCGAACGAGUGGCGGAAGGGUGAGUAAUGUCUGGGAAACUGCCUGAUGGCGGGGGAUAACUACUGGAAACGGUAGCUAAUACCGCAUACCAUCGGAUGUGCCCAGAUGGGAUUAGCUAGUAGGUGGGGUAACGGCUCACCUAGGCGACGAUCCCUAGCUGGUAUGAGAGGAUGACCAGCCAAACUGGAACGGAGACACGGGCCAGACGACUACGAGAGGCAGCAGUGGGGAAUAGUGCACGAUGGGCGCAAGCCUGAUGCAGCCAUGCCGCGUGUAUGAAGAAGGCCUUAGGGUUGUAAAGUACUUUCAGCGGGGAGGCGUGACCCGCAGAAGAAGCACCGGCUAACGCAGGGCCAGCAGCGGCGGUAAUUC
RNAcentral lists this ribosomal RNA (406 nucleotides) under uncultured bacterium. RNAcentral's name for it is "partial 16S ribosomal RNA". It matches the Rfam family "Bacterial small subunit ribosomal RNA", at positions 29 to 526 of the family's 1533-position model. The record is from RNAcentral.